Molecule: ribosomal RNA, 395 nt
Filed under: uncultured bacterium
Lineage: Bacteria
Description: partial 16S ribosomal RNA
Rfam family: Bacterial small subunit ribosomal RNA
Source: RNAcentral
AUACGUAGGGUGCAAGCGUUAAUCGGAAUUACUGGGCGUAAAGCGUGCGCAGGCGGUUUUUUAAGACAGUGGUGAAAUCCCCGGGCUCAACCUGGGAACUGCCAUUGUGACUGCAAGGCUGGAGUGCGGCAGAGGGGGAUGGAAUUCCGCGUGUAGCAGUGACAUGCGUAGAUAUGCGGAGGAACACCGAUGGCGAAGGCAAUCCCCUGGGCCUGCACUGACGCUCAUGCACGAAAGCGUGGGGAGCAAACAGGAUUAGAUACCCUGGUAGUACACGCCCUAAACGAUGUCAACUGGUUGUUGGGGAUUUAUUUUCUCAGUAACGAAGCUAACGCGUGAAGUUGACCGCCUGGGGAGUACGGCCGCAAGGUUAAAACUCAAAGGAAUUGACGGGG